GGCCCCUCGGAAAAAUGUGUGGGUCUGACCUGCCCAGUGACUUAAUUGUUAAACGGCCGCGGUACCCUGACCGUGCAAAGGUAGCAUAAUAAUUUGCUUUUUAAUUGGGGGCUAGAAUGAAUGGUUUGACGAAAAUUGAGCUGUCUCCCUAAAAAUAUUGAGAAUUUAACUUUUAGGUGAAGAGGCCUAAAUUUUUUUGAGGGACAAGAAGACCCUAUUGAGCUUUAGUUAUCUUUAAGAUUUUAGUGAUUAAUACAUUUUCUUAGGGAAAUCUUUAGUUGGGGCGACUUAGAAACAUGUAAAGCUUUCUAUAAUUUAGAAUUGAUAGGCAUAUGAAUGACCCAAUAGUAGUGGUUAUAGGAAAAAGUUACCAUAGGGAUAACAGCGUAAUCUUCUUGGAGAGUUCUUAUCAAAAAGUUGGUUUGCGACCUCGAUGUUGGACUAAGAUAUCCUAAAGGUGUAGGUGCUUUUGAGGGUUGGUC
RNAcentral lists this ribosomal RNA (482 nucleotides) under Adeuomphalus elegans. Its description in RNAcentral is "partial 16S rRNA". It matches the Rfam family "Bacterial large subunit ribosomal RNA", at positions 1819 to 2577 of the family's 2925-position model. Lineage: Eukaryota; Metazoa; Mollusca; Gastropoda; Seguenziida. The record is from RNAcentral.